UAGGGAAUCUUCCGCAAUGGGCGAAAGCCUGACGGAGCAACGCCGCGUGAGUGAUGAAGGUCUUCGGAUCGUAAAACUCUGUUAUUAGGGAAGAACAAAUGUGUAAGUAACUAUGCACGUCUUGACGGUACCUAAUCAGAAAGCCACGGCUAACUACGUGCCAGCAGCCGCGGUAAUACGUAGGUGGCAAGCGUUAUCCGGAAUUAUUGGGCGUAAAGCGCGCGUAGGCGGUUUUUUAAGUCUGAUGUGAAAGCCCACGGCUCAACCGUGGAAGGUCAUUUGAAACUGGAAAACUUGAGUGCAGAAGAGGAAAGUGGAAUUCCAUGUGUAGCGGUGAAAUGCGCAGAGAUAUGGAGGAACACCAGUGGCGAAGGCGACUUUCUGGUCUGUAACUGACGCUGAUGUGCGAAAGCGUGGGGAUCAAACAGG
This 429-nucleotide ribosomal RNA is filed under the name Actinomycetes bacterium. RNAcentral describes it as "Actinobacteria bacterium partial 16S ribosomal RNA". It matches the Rfam family "Bacterial small subunit ribosomal RNA", at positions 355 to 776 of the family's 1533-position model. The record is from RNAcentral. Lineage: Bacteria; Bacillati; Actinomycetota; Actinomycetes.